Lutra lutra (Eurasian river otter) is the source of this 452-nucleotide long non-coding RNA. RefSeq lists it as uncharacterized. The record is from RefSeq and is a predicted model, not a curated record. The transcript is spliced from 3 exons. NCBI's taxonomy places the organism in Eukaryota, Metazoa, Chordata, Mammalia, Carnivora, Mustelidae.
CAGGAGGUACAACUGCAGUGAGUUAUAAAAAAUGGCUUUUCGGCUUGAGCCAUAAAUUAAUUCGGGCAGACAUUCUGAAGGGCAAAUAGGGACUCUGUACUUUAAAGCUGACACAUCUGUGGCCACUGGGCUGACAGUGAUGCACCAGAGCCUCUGGUAGUCGCCACAGUGGGCUCCAAGCCUACUUUUCAGAAGAUUAGCACUAAACUUCUUCAGGGGAAAUAAACAGAUACUUGAGACCCUCAAUCCUGUUUGAACCUCAUGCCAUUUCAUCAGGCCAGGAAAACAGAUUUGGUCACAGAGUUUCAUGUGAGGAUGGAGAAAAUGAGGCUCAGACUGGUUAGAAAGAACUUUUCCAUGGUCACAGAGCUAACUGUUUGAACCAUGACUCUGCUCAGGAAUAAGAACAAAGAUUUUCUUAGAAUAAACCAACAUUUUCUCCAUCCACUCCA